GAUGAAGAACGCAGCGAAAUGCGAUAAGUAAUGUGAAUUGCAGAAUUCAGUGAAUCAUCGAAUCUUUGAACGCAUAUUGCGCCCCUUGGUAUUCCGAAGGGCAUGCCUGUUCGAGCGUCAUGAUCAAACCUCAAGCCUUUGCUUGGUAUUGGGUCUUCGUCUCUCCUGUCGUUGUUACAGGCAUUGACGUGCCUGAAAGUCAAUGGCGGUGCCCCAAAUAGGCUCAAGCGAAGCAGACUGACUCGCUUUGGAGAACUUUUUGUGGGUACUGUUAAACAAAAUCAAGCUUCCGACCUCGGAUCAGGUAUGGGAUACCCGCUGAACUUAAGCAUAUCAAUAAGCGGAGGA
Molecule: unclassified non-coding RNA, 348 nt
Filed under: soil metagenome
Description: partial contains 5.8S ribosomal RNA, internal transcribed spacer 2, and large subunit ribosomal RNA
Rfam family: 5.8S ribosomal RNA (bases 1-120)
Source: RNAcentral